This 484-nucleotide ribosomal RNA is filed under the name uncultured bacterium. RNAcentral describes it as "partial 16S ribosomal RNA". It matches the Rfam family "Bacterial small subunit ribosomal RNA", at positions 29 to 507 of the family's 1533-position model. The record is from RNAcentral.
AUUGAACGCUGGCGGCAUGCUUUACACAUGCAAGUCGAACGGCAGCGCGGGCUUCGGCCUGGCGGCGAGUGGCGAACGGGUGAGUAAUGCAUCGGAACGUGCCCAGUAGUGGGGGAUAGCCCGGCGAAAGCCGGAUUAAUACCGCAUACGACCUGAGGGUGAAAGCGGGGGACCGAAAGGCCUCGCGCUAUUGGAGCGGCCGAUGUCGGAUUAGCUAGUUGGUGGGGUAAAGGCUUACCAAGGCGACGAUCCGUAGCUGGUCUGAGAGGAUGACCAGCCACACUGGAACUGAGACACGGCCCAGACUCCUACGGGAGGCAGCAGUGGGGAAUUUUGGACAAUGGGGGCAAGCCUGAUCCAGCCAUGCCGCGUGCGGGAAGAAGGCCUUCGGGUUGUAAAGCGCUUUUGUUCGGGAAGAAAUCCUCUGGGCUAAUACCCCGGGGGGAUGACGGUACCGGAAGAAUAAGCACCGGCUAACUACGUG